RNAcentral lists this ribosomal RNA (408 nucleotides) under uncultured bacterium. RNAcentral's name for it is "partial 16S ribosomal RNA". It matches the Rfam family "Bacterial small subunit ribosomal RNA", at positions 28 to 526 of the family's 1533-position model. The record is from RNAcentral.
GACGAACGCUGGCGGCGUGCUUAACACAUGCAAGUCGAACGAAGUGGCGAACGGGUGAGUAAUACGUGGGUAACCUGCCCUCCUUUGUGGGAUAAGCCUUGGAAACUGGGUCUAAUACCGAAUAAAGGGGGAGGGGCUCGCGGCCUAUCAGCUUGUUGGUGGGGUGCUGGCCUACCAAUGCGGUGACGGGUAGCCGGACUGAGCGGGUGACCGGCCACGUUGGGACUGAGUUGCGGCCCAGGGUCGUACGGGAGGCGGAAGUGGGGGAUAUUGCACAAUGGGCGAGCGCCUGAUGCAGCGACGCCGCGUGGGGGAUGAGGGUUUUCGGGUUGUUACCCUCUGUCGCUAUCGAGCGGGUAGGUGGAGAAGAAGCGCCGGCUAACUACGUGCCAGCAGCCGCGGUAAUAC